RNAcentral lists this ribosomal RNA (258 nucleotides) under uncultured prokaryote. Its description in RNAcentral is "partial 16S ribosomal RNA". It matches the Rfam family "Bacterial small subunit ribosomal RNA", at positions 523 to 780 of the family's 1533-position model. The record is from RNAcentral.
UACCGGAGGAUGCAAGCGUUAUCCGGAUUCAUUGGGUUUAAAGGGUGCGUAGGCGGGCUAUUAAGUCAGUGGUGAAAUCCUGCAGCUUAACUGCAGAACUGCCGUUGAUACUGAUAGUCUUGAGUUUGGUUAAGGUAGGCGGAAUGUGUAAUGUAGCGGUGAAAUGCUUAGAUAUUACACAGAACACCAAUUGCGUAGGCAGCUUACUGAGCCGACACUGACGCUGAGGCACGAAAGCGUGGGGAUCAAACAGGAUUA